GACGGAGGAUGCAAGCGUUAUCCGGAAUUAUUGGGCGUAAAGAGUACGUAGGUGGCCUAUCAAGUCAGGGGUCAAAUCCCACAGCUUAACUGUGGACCGGCCUUUGAAACUGACAGGCUCGAGGAUGGUAGGGGUAGAGGGAAUUCCCGGUGUAGCGGUGAAAUGCGUAGAUAUCGGGAAGAACACCUGUGGCGAAAGCGCUCUACUGGACCAUCACUGACACUGAGGUACGAAAGCUAGGGGAGCGAAUGGG
RNAcentral lists this ribosomal RNA (253 nucleotides) under uncultured bacterium. RNAcentral's name for it is "partial 16S ribosomal RNA". It matches the Rfam family "Bacterial small subunit ribosomal RNA", at positions 524 to 776 of the family's 1533-position model. The record is from RNAcentral.